GCAUUGGUGGUUCAGUGGUAGAAUCCUCACCUUCCACGCGGGUGAUCCAGGUUCCAUUCCCAGCCAGUGUA
RNAcentral lists this transfer RNA (71 nucleotides) under Loxodonta africana (African savanna elephant). It matches the Rfam family "tRNA". From Rfam's summary of the family: Transfer RNA (tRNA) molecules are approximately 80 nucleotides in length. Their secondary structure includes four short double-helical elements and three loops (D, anti-codon, and T loops). The record is from Rfam by way of RNAcentral. Lineage: Eukaryota; Metazoa; Chordata; Mammalia; Proboscidea; Elephantidae.